CUAAGAAUAUUCCGCAAUGGACGGAAGUCUGACGGAGCGACGCCGCGUGGAUGAAGAAGGCCGAAAGGUUGUAAAGUUCUUUUGCUGGGGAAGAAUAACCGCAGGAGGGAAUGCCUGUGGGAUGACAAGAACCGGCGAAUAAGCCCCGGCCAACUACGUGCCAGCAGCCGCGGUAACACGUAGGGGGCGAGCGUUGUUCGGAAUUACUGGGCGUAAAGGGCAUGUAGGCGGCUUGGAAAGCCUGGCGUGAAAGUCUGCAGCUUAACUGCAGGGGUGCGCUGGGAACUGCUGAGCUUGAGUGACGGAGAGGGAGCUGGAAUUCCUGGUGUAGGGGUGAAAUCUGUAGAUAUCAGGAAGAACACCGAUGGCGAAGGCAAGCUCCUGGCCGAUGACUGACGCUGAGGUGCGAAAGUGUGGGGAUCAAACAGGAUUAGAUACCCUGGUAGUCCACACAGUCAACGAUGUGCACUAGGUGCUGGGGCGGUAGCUUCGGUGCCGGAGCGAACGUGGUAAGUGCACCGCCUGGGGAGUAUGCUCGCAAGGGUGAAACUCAAGGAAUUGAC
Molecule: ribosomal RNA, 563 nt
Filed under: uncultured bacterium
Lineage: Bacteria
Description: partial 16S ribosomal RNA
Rfam family: Bacterial small subunit ribosomal RNA
Source: RNAcentral